GCCGGGGUGGCGAAAUUGGCAGACGCACCGGACUCAAAAUCCGGCGGAGUUUACCCUCCGUGGGGGUUCGACUCCCCCCCCCGGCACCA
Molecule: transfer RNA, 89 nt
Filed under: Candidatus Hydrogenedentota bacterium
Lineage: Bacteria; Pseudomonadati; Candidatus Hydrogenedentota
Description: tRNA-Leu
Rfam family: tRNA
About the family: Transfer RNA (tRNA) molecules are approximately 80 nucleotides in length. Their secondary structure includes four short double-helical elements and three loops (D, anti-codon, and T loops).
Source: RNAcentral